Molecule: unclassified non-coding RNA, 222 nt
Filed under: Hevea brasiliensis (rubber tree)
Lineage: Eukaryota; Viridiplantae; Streptophyta; Magnoliopsida; Malpighiales; Euphorbiaceae
Source: RNAcentral
AUUUAUGUUCUUGCAUUUCCCAGGUAUGUACUUGCACUUUUCUUGAUCCUCUCUUUCUUUAAUGCAGCUGGAAUUAUAUGUAGGGGACUGUGGUUUCAACUCCGAUUGAGGAUUUGCCUAGUAAUUUGAAUUAAAUUGAAAUUUUCAUCUAGUUUUUAGUUUUGUUAUUCAAUGUUUUGAUUUAAUUUUGAGUGCUUUUCAUUUUAAUUUGAUUGGGUUUAG